UACGUAGGGUGCAAGCGUUAAUCGGAAUUACUGGGCGUAAAGCGUGCGCAGGCGGCUUUGCAAGACAGAUGUGAAAUCCCCGGGCUUAACCUGGGAACUGCAUUUGUGACUGCAUGGCUGGAGUGCGGCAGAGGGGGAUGGAAUUCCGCGUGUAGCAGUGAAAUGCGUAGAUACGCGGAGGAACACCGAUGGCGAAGGCAAUCCCCUGGGCCUGCACUGACGCUCAUGCACGAAAGCGUGGGGAGCAAACAGG
Molecule: ribosomal RNA, 253 nt
Filed under: uncultured bacterium
Lineage: Bacteria
Description: partial 16S ribosomal RNA
Rfam family: Bacterial small subunit ribosomal RNA
Source: RNAcentral